GAGUUACUCCAGCACUUUGUACAUUGAGAGAUUUGACAAACUAAGAUUGUUUUCUCUGGAGCGUCAGAGGUUGAGGG
Molecule: long non-coding RNA, 77 nt
Organism: Amblyraja radiata (thorny skate)
Lineage: Eukaryota; Metazoa; Chordata; Chondrichthyes; Rajiformes; Rajidae
Exons: 3
Source: RefSeq, a predicted model, not a curated record